GCGGAAACGAGUUUCUGAACCUUCGGGGAACGAUAACGGCGUCGAGCGGCGGACGGGUGAGUAAUGCCUGGGAAAUUGCCCUGAUGUGGGGGAUAACUAUUGGAAACGAUAGCUAAUACCGCAUAACGUCUACGGACCAAAGAGGGGGACCUUCGGGCCUCUCGCUUCAGGAUAUGCCCAGGUGGGAUUAGCUAGUUGGUGAGGUAAUGGCUCACCAAGGCGACGAUCCCUAGCUGGUCUGAGAGGAUGAUCAGCCACGCUGGAACUGAGACACGGUCCAGACUCCUACGGGAGGCAGCAGUGGGGGAAUAUUGCACAAUGGGCGCAAGCCUGAUGCAGCCAUGCCGCGUGUAUGAAGAAGGCCUUCGGGUUGUAAAGUACUUUCAGUCGUGAGGGAAGGCAAUACAGU
RNAcentral lists this ribosomal RNA (409 nucleotides) under Vibrio sp. P12-9. RNAcentral's name for it is "bacterial SSU rRNA". It matches the Rfam family "Bacterial small subunit ribosomal RNA", at positions 66 to 461 of the family's 1533-position model. The record is from RNAcentral. Lineage: Bacteria; Pseudomonadati; Pseudomonadota; Gammaproteobacteria; Vibrionales; Vibrionaceae.